CCAAAAUGUCCAUUUAUUUGGCGCAUUUGAUCCAGAAAAACACCAGUUCCAACUCGCGCAACAUGACUACAAAAUAUCUAUUAAGUUACCUGUAAUCUUUGUCCAAACAUUUCAAACAACUUUCCUAAUACAACUUUAGGUAUUUUUUAACGUAAAUAAUUGAUCAAAUUUAAGACAGGAUAAACUGUGUUCAAUACAGGACGAAAACAAAGUGGAGCGAGCCUUCAGGUCGUGCGCCUCAAACAAACAGUACACUUCACUCGACCCUCGUUCUGAACUGCACUACUUCUUCAUUUCUCAAAGGAAAAACAUCAACCAAUUUCUAAAGACUGUUGACAUCCAGUGAAAGCGAUAGGAACUGCAAGCAAG
Molecule: long non-coding RNA, 369 nt
Filed under: Salmo salar (Atlantic salmon)
Lineage: Eukaryota; Metazoa; Chordata; Actinopteri; Salmoniformes; Salmonidae
Description: lncRNA (ENSSSAG00000114416.1)
Source: RNAcentral